Long non-coding RNA from Rosa rugosa (rugosa rose), 1135 nucleotides. RefSeq lists it as uncharacterized. The transcript is spliced from 3 exons. The record is from RefSeq and is a predicted model, not a curated record. Lineage: Eukaryota; Viridiplantae; Streptophyta; Magnoliopsida; Rosales; Rosaceae.
GUCAAAGUUUAUCUCUUGACUCUCCUCCUUCUAGAGGUCCAGAAACUUUGCAGCAUAGCUCCCUCUCCAGCAUUAUGAAUAAGGAUGUGAGAGACUUGAUGGUUCAAAGUAACCAUGAAAGGAAAAGGGAUAAGUUACGUAAGAAAAAAUUAAUGCAUAUUGUUGUAUUGGUUAUUGGAUUUUUGAUGUUGGUCAUGGGUGCUCAAAGGCGACGCAAAAGGUUUAUGAGAAAACAGCCUUCAAGAAGUGAAGUUGAUGAAAAGACUUAUAGAAGGAUGCUUUGGAUGAGAGUCUUAGAACAUGAGUCUACUUGUUUUGAACAGUUACGAAUGAAACCUGCUGCAUUUGAGAAGCUUUGUGCACUCUUACGAGAUAGAGGGGGGUUGGUGGUUACAAGGAAUGUCACAAUUAAAGAAGUUGUGGCGUCAUUUUUGCAUAUGCUAUGACAUAAUCUAAAAAAUAGUACUAUCAAAUCUAUAUAUGCUCGUUUAGAAGAAACCAUAAGUAGGCAAUUUCAUCAUGUUUUGCGAUCAGUAGUCAAGCUUGGAAAGUUAUACUUGAAGCAACAUGAGUUAGUUCUCAAUGAGCGGGACUUUGAGAAGUGGAGAUGAUUUCAGGUAUUAAAAUCUGAUGGUAUAUGUUUUACUUACAAAAUCAGAGUUUAUAUUACAAGUUUAAUGAGAUUUAUUAUGCAUAUUAUGGGGCACUUGGAGCACUUGAUGAGACAUUUAUUGAUCUAACGGUUCCUACUGAAGAUAAACCAAGAUAUCGAAAUAGGAAGGGUGACAUUAGUACAAAUGUCUUAGGUGUUUGUGAUGCUAAUAUGAAGUUCAUCUAUGUCCUAUCUGGUUGGGAAGGAUCUACAGCAGAUUCUAGAGUUUUACGUGAUGCUUUGACUAGGCGCAAUGGCUUAAAAAUCCAAUCAAACAAAUACUAUCUUGUGGAUGUCGGAUACACAAAUGGACCAGGGUUUCUAGCUCCUUAUCGUGGGACUAGGUAUCAUCUUAAUUUGUGAAGAGGAAACACCCCAAGGAAUCACAAGGAGCUAUUCAAUCUUCGGCACUCAUAAAUAAGAAAUACAAUUGAAAGAGCAUUUGGAUUAUUGAAGAAGCGAUGGGCAAUACUACGCACAACU